RNAcentral lists this ribosomal RNA (444 nucleotides) under Idiomarina sp. RNAcentral's name for it is "bacterial SSU rRNA". It matches the Rfam family "Bacterial small subunit ribosomal RNA", at positions 556 to 999 of the family's 1533-position model. The record is from RNAcentral. Lineage: Bacteria; Pseudomonadati; Pseudomonadota; Gammaproteobacteria; Alteromonadales; Idiomarinaceae.
GGGCGUAAGCGUACGUUAGGCGGCGUGUUAAGCAAGAUGUGAAAGCCCCGGGCUCAACCUGGGAAUUGCAUUUUGAACUGGCAUGCUAGAGUCCUGAAGAGGGUGGUAGAAUUUCCAGUGUAGCGGUGAAAUGCGUAGAUAUUGGAAGGAAUACCGGUGGCGAAGGCGGCCACCUGGUCAGAGACUGACGCUGAGGUACGAAAGCGUGGGGAGCAAACAGGAUUAGAUACCCUGGUAGUCCACGCCGUAAACGAUGUCAACUAGUUGUUCGUGUCAUUAAGACGUGAGUAACGCAGCUAACGCACUAAGUUGACCGCCUGGGGAGUACGGCCGCAAGGUUAAAACUCAAAUGAAUUGACGGGGGCCCGCACAAGCGGUGGAGCAUGUGGUUUAAUUCGAUGCAACGCGAAGAACCUUACCAUCCCUUGACAUCCAGUGAAUUUU